GUACGGAAGGCAGCAGUAGGGAAUAUUGGACAAUGGGCGAAAGCCUGAUCCAGCCAUGCCGCGUGAUGGAUGAAGGCCCUCUGGGUUGUAAACAUCUUUUAUUAGGGAAGAAACAUCUCGUUUCUACGAGACUUGACGGUACCUGAUGAAUAAGCACCGGCUAACUCCGUGCCAGCAGCCGCGGUAAUACGGAGGGUGCAAGCGUUAUCCGGAUUUACUGGGUUUAAAGGGUGCGUAGGCGGGAAAAUAAGUCAGUGGUGAAAGCACCGGGCUCAACUCGGUAACUGCCAUUGAUACUGUUUUUCUUGAAUGCGAUUGAGGUAAGCGGAAUGUUGCAUGUAGCGGUGAAAUGCUUAGAUAUGUUACAGAACACCAAUUGUGAAGACAGCUUACUAAGUCGUGAUUGACGCUGAGGCACGAAAGCGUGGGGAGCAAACAGGAUUAGAUACCCCGGUAGC
Molecule: ribosomal RNA, 458 nt
Filed under: uncultured bacterium
Lineage: Bacteria
Description: bacterial SSU rRNA
Rfam family: Bacterial small subunit ribosomal RNA
Source: RNAcentral